Molecule: ribosomal RNA, 400 nt
Filed under: uncultured bacterium
Lineage: Bacteria
Description: partial 16S ribosomal RNA
Rfam family: Archaeal small subunit ribosomal RNA
Source: RNAcentral
ACACCGGCAGCUCAAGUGGUAGCCGCUUUUAUUGGGGCUAAAGCGUCCGUAGCCGGUCUGAUAAGUCUCUGGUGAAAUCCCACAGCUUAACUGUGGGAAUUGCUGGAGAUACUAUCAUGACUCGAGGUCGGGAGAGGCUGGAGGUACUCCCAGGGUAGGGGUGAAAUCCUGUAAUCCUGGGAGGACCACCUGUGGCGAAGGCGUCCAGCUGGAACGAACCUGACGGUGAGGGACGAAAGCCAGGGGCGCGAACCGGAUUAGAUACCCGGGUAGUCCUGGCCGUAAACGAUGUGGACUUGGUGUUGGGAUGGCUUCGAGCUGCCCCAGUGCCGAAGGGAAGCUGUUAAGUCCACCGCCUGGGAAGUACGGCCGCAAGGCUGAAACUUAAAGGAAUUGGCGG